GAUGAACGCUGGCGGCGUGCCUAAUACAUGCAAGUCGAGCGAACAGACCAGGAGCUUGCUCCUCUGACGGUGUCGGCGGACGGGUGAGGAACACGUGUAUAACCUACCUAUAAGACUGGGAUAACAUCGGGAAACCGGAGCUAAUACCGGAUAAUAUAUUGGACCACAUGGUGCACGAGUUAAAGACGGUUGUUCGGUGACUUAUAGAUGGAUCAGCGCCGCAUUAGCUAGUUGGUAAGGUAACGGCUUACCAAGGCAACGAUUCUUAGACGACCUGAGAGGGUGAUCGGCCACACUGGAACUGAGACACGGUCCAGACUCCUACGGGAGGCAGCAGUAGGGAAUCUUCCGCAAUGGGCGAAAGCCUGACGGAGCAACGCCGCGUGAGUGAUGAAGGUCUUCGGAUCGUAAAACUCUGUUAUUAGGGAAGAACAAAUGUGUAAGUAACUAUGCACGUCUUGACGGUACCUAAUCAGAAAGCCACGGCUAACUACGUG
RNAcentral lists this ribosomal RNA (497 nucleotides) under uncultured bacterium. Its description in RNAcentral is "partial 16S ribosomal RNA". It matches the Rfam family "Bacterial small subunit ribosomal RNA", at positions 28 to 507 of the family's 1533-position model. The record is from RNAcentral.